RNAcentral lists this long non-coding RNA (209 nucleotides) under Elaeis guineensis (African oil palm). RNAcentral describes it as "long non-coding RNA (EGUI_LNC071365)". Lineage: Eukaryota; Viridiplantae; Streptophyta; Magnoliopsida; Arecales; Arecaceae. The record is from RNAcentral.
CUCCUCCCGAACCGCCAGGUCCAUCCCCAGACGGGAAAACCGAGCACCACCUCCCACGCGUCGCGUCCCGAUUGGUCGUCGUGGAGCGUUGAGCACUCCGUGUCCGUACCCAUCGCGCCAAAGCCACCGCUCGGCCAUUCUUGGGUACCUCAGUUCAAAAUUACCAAACUACCCCCUCGUUCGCAUCGCCGACAGUCUCCCGUCUCCGA